This 254-nucleotide ribosomal RNA is filed under the name uncultured bacterium. Its description in RNAcentral is "partial 16S ribosomal RNA". It matches the Rfam family "Bacterial small subunit ribosomal RNA", at positions 524 to 776 of the family's 1533-position model. The record is from RNAcentral.
UACGUAGGCAGCGAGCGUUGUUCGGAGUUACUGGGCGUAAAGGGUGUGUAGGCGGUUGUUUAAGUUUGGUGUGAAAUCUCCCGGCUCAACUGGGAGGGUGCGCCGAAUACUGAAUGACUUCAAGUACGGGAGAGGUGAGUGGAAUUCCUGGUGUAGCGGUGAAAUGCGUAGAUAUCAGGAGGAACACCGGUGGUGUAGACGGCUCACUGGACCGUAACUGACGCUGAGACACGAAAGCGUGGGUAGCAAACAGG